GGCCCAUCAACUAGCUCAAACCUCAAACUACAACAACCCACUAUCAAUAACCCCCAACAACUUAAUGUACCACUGAAUCAAACCAUUUUGCCCCCUAAGUAUGGGAGACAGAAAAGGACAAAUGAAGCAACAACAAUAGUACCGCAAGGGAAAGCUGAAAGAGAACUGAAACAAACCAGUAAAGCAUAAAGAAGCAGAGAUUAACCCUCGUACCUUUUGCAUCAUGAUUUGGCAAGAAACUAUCAGGCAAGGAGAACCCUAGUCUGACUCCCCGAAACCAACGUGAGCUACUCCGAGACAGCCUUCUGGGCACACCCGUCUCUGUGGCAAAAGAGUGGGAAGAGCUUUGAGUAGAGGUGACAAACCUACCGAACUUGGUUAUAGCUGGUUGUCCAGGAAUUGAACAGGAGUUCAGCCUUUUAUCCUCUUAACCCAAGACCAGGAGACACCCCGAUGUGUCAGAGAGGACAAAAGAGUUAGUCAAAGGGGGUACAGCCCCUUUGAAAAAGAUACAACUUUCCCCAGAAGGGUUAAGACCACAACAUCAACGAAGGGUAAAUGUUUUAGUUGGCCUAAAAGCAGCCACCAAUGCAGAAAGCGUUAAAGCUCGUACAUCUAUGACCCCUAUUAUUCAGGUCACAUAUCUUACCCCACUACACACACUGGACCUUUCCAUACCCCCUAUGGAAGAGAUAAUGCUAAUAUGAGUAAUAAGAGACCAAGAAUCUCUCCCCGCACGAGUGUACAUCGGAACGAACUGACACCGAAACUUAACGGCCCCAACAGAAGAGGGACUUUGAACAAAACACGGAGUAUACAAGAAAAACAUCAAACCUCUCACCGUUAAUCUUACACCAGAGUGCACACAAGGAAAGACUAAAAGAAAGAGAAGGAACUCGGCA
RNAcentral lists this ribosomal RNA (902 nucleotides) under Ostorhinchus rueppellii (gobbleguts). Its description in RNAcentral is "partial 16S ribosomal RNA". The stretch from base 192 to 902 matches the Rfam family "Bacterial large subunit ribosomal RNA", at positions 568 to 1719 of the family's 2925-position model. The record is from RNAcentral. Lineage: Eukaryota; Metazoa; Chordata; Actinopteri; Kurtiformes; Apogonidae.